Long non-coding RNA from Cajanus cajan (pigeon pea), 850 nucleotides. RefSeq lists it as uncharacterized. The record is from RefSeq and is a predicted model, not a curated record. Lineage: Eukaryota; Viridiplantae; Streptophyta; Magnoliopsida; Fabales; Fabaceae.
AUUAGUCUCUCUGGAUCUCAUACUUCAUUCUUCAUUUCUGCUGGAGAGAAGCAAGCAAGUCUAUACAAAACAUAAGAGUUCAUGAAUCGAUCUGUGCACAAAAGUUUCACAACAAAUUAAACAAGAAGACUAAGGAAGGAAAAAAAUGGGAUGCAUUAUUUCCAUUGCAAAAGAGGUCGUUAAAAUUGUCGUCCGAACGCUACGUUGCUUCUUGUGCUGCAAAGUACACGGACGACGAUCAUCACUUCCCCUUCAUGAGCUUGAUGUCACUCCUUAUUUAUACAAGGACCAUAUUUUACAUGAAAUGAUAACAACUCUAGCACAACCAGAUAUUAUCAUGAUUGGGUUGUACGGAUCAAGUUAUAAGAGUAAGGACAAUGUGGUGAAGAAAAUUAUCAGGAGAGUUGAGAGGGAUGGACAAUUUGAUGUGAUUAUAAAGGCAAGCCUGGGAAAAAAGAAUAUAUGGUGGAGCAAAUCACUAGAUGUGAAAAAUAUUCAAGAAGAACUUGGGAACCAGCUGGGUUUACAACUCCAAAAGAAAACUUUAGAGGAAAGAGCUAGUUGUUUAUAUGAAAAAAUAAAGAUGAAGCAAAAAAUUCUUAUCAUCUUAGAUGACCUACAAGGUGAAAUCAACUUGACCAAGAUAGGAAUACCAUUUGGAAAUGAUCACAGGGGUUGUAGAAUUUUGUUUGUAGCCAAUAAUAAGAACGUGUUGUCCAACAAAAUGAAAAUCCCAAUAGCAUUCUCCAUGGAUAACUAUAGUUGAGGUCUUAAGUUCAAACUUAUGAAAUAAAUUUAUGGGACUUUUUUGUGACUUUAUAUUUUUAUAUGGAAAAGUUUGUUUGGUUAA